Molecule: ribosomal RNA, 253 nt
Filed under: uncultured bacterium
Lineage: Bacteria
Description: partial 16S ribosomal RNA
Rfam family: Archaeal small subunit ribosomal RNA
Source: RNAcentral
UACCAGCACCCCGAGUGGUCGGGACGUUUAUUGGGCCUAACGCAUCCGUAGCCGGUUCUACAAGUCUUCCGUUAAAUCCAACUGCUUAACAGGUGGGCUGCGGAAGAUACUAUAGAGCUAGGAGGCGGGAGAGGCAAGCGGUACUCGAUGGGUAGGGGUAAAAUCCGUUGAUCCAUUGAAGACCACCAGUGGCGAAGGCGGCUUGCCAGAACGCGCUCGACGGUGAGGGAUGAAAGCUGGGGGAGCAAACCGG